This is a long non-coding RNA of Mytilus californianus (California mussel), 1266 nucleotides long. RefSeq lists it as uncharacterized. Lineage: Eukaryota; Metazoa; Mollusca; Bivalvia; Mytilida; Mytilidae. The transcript has 3 exons. The record is from RefSeq and is a predicted model, not a curated record.
AAAGGUAGCCUCAAUGUUAUUUUUGUGGUUAAAUUGUCUCCCUUAGUGGAAAUCUUUCACUGGCAAUAUGGCAGCUUCCAGUGAUGAAAAGUUGACGUCUCUGUUCGGUCCGAUUUUUCUAAUCUUGGAGGUUAUUGUGGACAAUCAAAGCACUAUACAACUCAUCUGUUAGACAAGGUUUAUCUUUGUACAAAGGACACCACCUUGAAUUUAUCCACAGCACUGAGGGCAGUGAGGCCUGUUUAUCAAACUUUCCACAUGUUCCAGGAGGACUAUUUUAAUUUUUAUACACAUAAGUGACAUUGUUUUCUGUUGAUCGUGCUGCUAUAAAAUUGUCGAUAUGUACAUGCCGAUGGCACAGAGACUUUUUUGGGAUAUAUUGGCGGGACUAUUCAACAAAGUGUGGAUUCAAAGAUCGUUCUGCUAACAUUAAGGCAAAACUCCAAAAGGCGAAAAUCUGAUAGUGUUGGAGGAACGACACUAACCCUAUCAUAGGAAUACUGACUAUUGUAAUGACAACUAAUUCCAAAAGGGUCAGGUCUCUGCAAGCAGUGUUUUACCAAGAUUAGACAAACAGAAGUUGAUGGAGGAAUCAUAGUUGAUACAAAAAAGAUUAUGAUGAAGAUGAAAGCCAAAUUAAAGAUACUCAGGUUCUCAUAGGAGUAUAUUCAAGAGCAUCAACUAAUUUUUCAUAAUAUUUAGCAUCAGAUUGGGAAACAGAUAACAUUUCUGACCGGGAGAAACUCAACAGAGGCUUGCAUUUCCUUUGAAAUUGAAAGUAUCCACCAUUUAGGAACCAAUUGAAUCUUGAAUGGGAUGAUGUAUCAAAAAGUACAAUGGCUUUUUCUACAAAAUUAUCAUCAGAAAUUAUUGAUUUGAUUUUGAAUUAUAUUGUACCUGCACAAUACAAGUCGAUAAAGUGUUCUGAUCUGUAGUAGAAAAGAGGAAAACAGACGAAACACAGUCAAUAUUACAACAGGAUGUUUUGACUGAAGCUCGUAUUGAUGCAUACUUACUAACUAAGACCUGAAUAGUCAUCCGACCUGGCUUCAGAUCUUAUCACUGUUUGCAUGUAUUCAGACCGUUUUACAUGUUUCUCUUUAUGGCAGACUUCGCUAAUAUUAUAUGACAGUAAAAUUAUAAGCAAACAGCCUAAAUAACUAUAUAACCAUUUUAAUGAAAAUGUCGGCACCACAGUUGAACCAUUUAUCUGUAUAUUUGUUUUUAUUCAUGUAGGUAUAAAAUAAAUUUUAUUUCCAUUUGAAA